RNAcentral lists this ribosomal RNA (497 nucleotides) under uncultured bacterium. RNAcentral describes it as "partial 16S ribosomal RNA". It matches the Rfam family "Bacterial small subunit ribosomal RNA", at positions 899 to 1397 of the family's 1533-position model. The record is from RNAcentral.
ACUCAAAGGAAUAGACGGGGGCCCGCACAAGCGGUGGAGUAUGUGGUUUAAUUCGAAGCAACGCGCAGAACCUUACCUGGGCUUAACAUCCACUGACAAUCUCAGAGAUGAGACUUUCCCUUCGGGGACAGUGAGAUAGGUGCUGCAUGGCUGUCGUCAGCUCGUGUCGUAAGAUGUUGGGUUAAGUCCCGCAACGAGCGCAACCCUUGUCUUUAGUUGCCAGCAUUAAGUUGGGCACUCUGAAGAGACUGCCGGUGUUAAACCGGAGGAAGGCGGGGAUGACGUCAAGUCCUCAUGGCCCUUACGUCCAGGGCUACACACGUACUACAAUGGCAGAGACAAAGCGUCGCGAAGCCGCGAGGUGGAGCUAAUCGCAAAAACACUGUCUCAGUCCGGAUUGAAGUCUGCAACUCGACUUCAUGAAGCUGGAAUCGCUAGUAAUCGCAGAUCAGCACGCUGCGGUGAAUACGUUCCCGGGCCUUGUACACACCGCCCGU